RNAcentral lists this small RNA (146 nucleotides) under Enterobacter cancerogenus. RNAcentral's name for it is "Enterobacterial sRNA STnc430". It matches the Rfam family "Enterobacterial sRNA STnc430", at positions 15 to 158 of the family's 162-position model. Lineage: Bacteria; Pseudomonadati; Pseudomonadota; Gammaproteobacteria; Enterobacterales; Enterobacteriaceae. The record is from RNAcentral.
CACCUGCGUAUAUUCCUAAAAUAAACCGCAGUAACUAAAUGGUUUACAGCCUUUUUCAGAUUAAACUCACAGCAGGAAUUUGAGUUAACUAACAGACAUGCGGAAUUAUCCGAUAAAAAAGCCGGCAUUACGCCGGCUUGUUUCAU